This is a long non-coding RNA of Cryptomeria japonica (Japanese cedar), 2075 nucleotides long. RefSeq lists it as uncharacterized. The transcript has 5 exons. The record is from RefSeq and is a predicted model, not a curated record. NCBI's taxonomy places the organism in Eukaryota, Viridiplantae, Streptophyta, Pinopsida, Cupressales, Cupressaceae.
AGGUUGUCAUAUGUGAAUUGCGUUCAUGACGUCCUGUUUGAAUUAAAGAUCACAUGUUUGGUAGUCCUAUUUUGGAUAUCAAGUGGCAUGCAACUUUAAAAUCCACUAUACCAAAAAUGAUCGCGGCUGAUAAUUAAGUGGUUAGGAUUUGCGAUCCAAAGACGGAUACUUGUGUUACAAGUGUAGUUUCUAGAUCCACUGCACAAUUGAUUGGUCUGGGUUGGAAGUGAAACUGGCAGUCUUGCUUCCCUCCAAAGAAAAAAAUAAAGUGGACAAUGCACUUAAGAAGGCAAGAACUAUGAAAACUAGGUGCACUGAGGAGUACUCAGACAAGCCCCAAAGACGAUGAAGCUAAUGCUAGGGCAUAUGACAGAGAACGAGUACUUGAUUUGGGAUGGAUGCUGAAAGCUGCAUAGUAAAGUGGAGGUCUGUAAAUCAUCAGUAGAUACAAAUUUUGCAGGGUGAUGGAUGCAUGUUAGUUUUAAGGAUGGAGAAUCAAGACAAUAAUACCUUAGAGGUAUUUUAAUUCAGAAGUCUUAUUACUAAUGUAGGGAAUUGCCAAGAAUGGAGUUAAAACUUAAUAUCAUAAUACCAACAGUGUUGGAUUUGAUAUCAGUUAUUCAAAUUUGUUUAUUUUAUUUUACAUAUUUCUGCCUGAAACAAUGCUAAGUAACAAUUUGGAUAUUUAUUUCCAUGUAUGACCUAAGAUGCUCGUAAAUUGUAUAGGUCCAGUUUUACUCAUUUUAUUUUCCAUAUCAUUUCAUACUAUGGACAGGUCUGUACAACUGGGCUGCACGAUUCAAAUUAUGGCUUUUUUGGAUUACUUAUUCUACUUAUCUACUUUUAUUUGCAGGGAGAUGGGAUGACUAGCAUUGAACCCUCAGCUGGAAAUAUCUGACGUUUGUGUAAUUAGAAACAGUGGAUUAAUGCUCAUGGCUCUAGAGUCAACUCAAAUUCUGUCCUAUUUUAUUCCUUAGGUCCAGUUCCUAAGUGGUACUCUAAUUUGGAGAACUUGACAGUAUGGUUAAAUUCUGUGUGUGUACGCACACAUGCAUACAUAUAUAUUUAGUUAAUGUUUCUCUAUAGUAGUUGCAUAUUUUUCCUAGGUAAUGGUACUUGCAUGCCUUUAUUAGAUAUAAAGUAUUAAAUCAAAUAUUGGAUGUGCGUUAGAGAAAGUUAUAUCAUGUACAAAGUGCUGCUAGUUUACUUGUAAAUUCUAUAUUUUCUAAUUCUUUUACAGGAAGAGCUUGAGGAAGGGGCACAAACCACCAUUUAUGAUGAUUUCGAAUUUGUAACAAAAGAGGACAUUGAACACUAAAAUUUGACAAAUCUGAUUGGCACCAACCUUUUAAGAGGUUAUAUUCAUGGAUACUUUAUAGAUUAUCGUCUCUACCUUGAGGAAAAAUCUAUGGCCUAUCCAUUUGCAUAUGAAGCUUAUAGGAAGAUCAAGAAACGCAUACAAGAAAAGGUUGAGGCUGAGCGUACUAAUCGUAUAAUGGUGUAGGAGGGAGAUCAGCUGACGUUGGGUCAAUUGGCCUCUUGACGUGGAGAUCCCUAGCUCUUCGAGGACACCUAUGAUGAGGCAUCGACUACUUAGGAGGACACAUCUUGAAUAAGGGCACAAUUACUGCACUUGUAAGAGGACUUACAGGAGGAAGCCCAUGCCUAAGGGGGGAGGAUGUUAGAUCCCUCCUUUAGUUACAUUAUAGUUAUAUUAUUUGAGUGAGAUGGUGUAUUAUGUCUUGAUUCAUAGACUAUUUCAUGGUUAUUGUUAUUAACCCUUUUAUAUCAUGGUUUAGACAUAAUGAGGAUAGGUCGUUACUUCUUAGUACUUUGCUCCUUACUUAUGUUGUUUAUAUGAUCUCAUGGUUUUACAUUAUCAAUGAUGGAUAAUAUUUGACACGCAUAGUUCGUGUGACAUGUGAGUUUUUUGAGAUAUAGUUGUAUGUAUUUAUACAUAUAUACAUAUACAUAUACACACACACGCACAUAUACAUAUACAUAUAUGUAUGUAUGUAUUUCAUGAUGAGCUGGCACUUUUUCUUGAGUAAGCAGGUAGAUGCCAAUGGGGAUGC